UACGAAGGGUGCUAGCGUUGCUCGGAAUUACUGGGCGUAAAGCGCACGUAGGCGGCUUGUUAAGUCGGGGGUGAAAUCCUGGAGCUCAACUCCAGAACUGCCUUCGAUACUGGCGAGCUCGAGUUCGGGAGAGGUGAGUGGAACUGCGAGUGUAGAGGUGAAAUUCGUAGAUAUUCGCAAGAACACCAGUGGCGAAGGCGGCUCACUGGCCCGAUACUGACGCUGAGGUGCGAAAGCGUGGGGAGCAAACAGG
Molecule: ribosomal RNA, 253 nt
Filed under: uncultured bacterium
Lineage: Bacteria
Description: partial 16S ribosomal RNA
Rfam family: Bacterial small subunit ribosomal RNA
Source: RNAcentral